Long non-coding RNA from Gavialis gangeticus (Gharial), 1480 nucleotides. RefSeq lists it as uncharacterized. The record is from RefSeq and is a predicted model, not a curated record. NCBI's taxonomy places the organism in Eukaryota, Metazoa, Chordata, Crocodylia, Gavialidae. The transcript is spliced from 2 exons.
AGUAUGCUGCUGGAAUCCAGUAUCCACACAUGCAAGACUCAAGGUCUGCAUGCUCCUAGGAACCAGAAUUGGCAGCUGCUGGGGCUGAGUCCCCUCAGUUUCUAGUCCCAGCUGGGCAUUGCAUAUCUCUGCAGAUGAGAGCCCUCUCACCUGAUGGGGAGACCCAGCUGCAGGUGCAAAUUUAAGUUGGAUAGCAAUCGGCUCUAAAGUUUGUACACACUUUCACAUCUAAUUUCAUAGCUGGUUGGAGCUUUUUAUGGUAUGUUUAGGUACUUUGCACAUGGAGCUGGUCUCAAAGUAAUUGAGCAAUUAACUAGUUCAUUUUAUGUACCUGUAAUGUAAGGCGGGGUGGGCUAAGAUGCAGGAAACCUUGAAUUAAGUAUUCAUGUGAAACAUUUUGGAAACUUUAAGAAGUAUUACAGUCUUUUAAAUCAUGCAGUACACCAUGAGUUUAUUCUUGAACAACUAACACAGAUGUAAGUCUAACUACUGCCUGUUUCUGUAAACUAGUCAAAUAAAUGGUUAUAUUUAAAGAUUUUUUUUUCUUGUUUGUCGUACACUUUUUCUCCCUGCUUCCCUGUUUCUGUGGUUAUUAGCACUUACAUUCUUUUAUAUGGAUUCAACUCUCUUCUCAAUCAUUAUGAUCUCCAGUAUGGUAGGAAGGGCAGUAGAUCCAUGUGUAAAUUUUCCAACUCUAUGUAGUACAUGAGAUCUCCAAAAGCAACUUGAGAAAAGUGAAGAAACCAUUAUCGCCUAAAAUCCUGGGUAGAUUAUUAUGAAUAUCUGUGUUCCAGAACUCAUAAAGGUAGCAGCUUUGGGACUGUGAAUGUGUUCAGCUUGGAAUAUAAAUUUUUCAAACUUCCGAACAGCAAUAACUCAGUUGAGUGUUUCACAAAAUUUCAGUCUUUCAGAACUUAAAGGCAGGCAGGCAAUUCAAGGAGUCCAUUUUUCAGAGCUUUUGUUUCUAGACUUGUGUGUGCUAUGCAGCAUUUUGGGGAAAUGACCUAGUUUUGUUUCUGAAAUAAUUGAAAUGACUGUAAAUUUAUUUUUUUAAUGGAAAAAAUUGCUUCCAAAAAUGUAGGUUCUGUGUUAAAACAGUUUGGAACAAAAAAACCAAGAUGUGAUCUUAGUAGAAUGUACAUAAUUAAAAAAUGCACUUUUAAUUCUGAAGCUGCACUGUCACUAAAUACAUUUGUGAAAUGUAAGGAUGGAGAACUGUGGCAUUGAAAGUCUUGUACUUGAGACUAAAACUUGUGAACAUCAUGAAAAUGUGAAGCUAUGCCUUAUACUGUGUAGAUGCUGUUUGCAUUAUUUGCAUCUAGCUCUGCAUGUAACUGGUUUGAACAUUGAAGUUGAAGUGGCUUUCAUGUACAUAUCUGUAUCAUAUUUAGAUCAUCAUUGUUGUAGAUUUAUUGACUAGAUGAAUCGCACUUCUGCCUUUUUGUACAGCAAAACCUGAAAUAAACCUGUAAAUAGUGAA